This 418-nucleotide ribosomal RNA is filed under the name Komagataeibacter saccharivorans. RNAcentral's name for it is "bacterial SSU rRNA". It matches the Rfam family "Bacterial small subunit ribosomal RNA", at positions 275 to 710 of the family's 1533-position model. The record is from RNAcentral. Lineage: Bacteria; Pseudomonadati; Pseudomonadota; Alphaproteobacteria; Acetobacterales; Acetobacteraceae.
GAUGAUCGAUAGCUGGUCUGAGGAGAUGAUCAGCCACACUGGGACUGAGACACGGCCCAGACUCCUACGGGAGGCAGCAGUAACCAAUAUUGGACAAUGGGCGCAAGCCUGAUCCAGCAAUGCCGCGUUGGUGAAGAAGGUUUUCGGAUUGUAAAGCACUUUCAGCGGGGACGAUGAUGACGGUACCCGCAGAAGAAGCCAAGGCUAACUUCGUGCCAGCAGCCGCGGUAAUACGAAGGGGGCAAGCGUUGCUCGGAAUGACUGGGCGUAAAGGGCGCGUAGGCGGUUUUAACAGUCAGAUGUGAAAUUCCUGGGCUUAACCUGGGGGCUGCAUUUGAUACGUUGAGACUAGAGUGUGAGAGAGGGUUGUGGAAUUCCCAGUGUAGAGGUGAAAUUCGUAGAUAUUGGGAAGAACACC